This 477-nucleotide ribosomal RNA is filed under the name uncultured Rhodococcus sp. RNAcentral's name for it is "bacterial SSU rRNA". It matches the Rfam family "Bacterial small subunit ribosomal RNA", at positions 904 to 1382 of the family's 1533-position model. The record is from RNAcentral. Lineage: Bacteria; Bacillati; Actinomycetota; Actinomycetes; Mycobacteriales; Nocardiaceae.
CAAAGGAUUGACGGGGCCCGCACAAGCGGCGGAGCAUGUGGAUUAAUUCGAUGCAACGCGAAGAACCUUACCUGGGUUUGACAUACACCGGAAAACCGUAGAGAUACGGUCCCCUUGUGGUCGGUGUACAGGUGGUGCAUGGCUGUCGUCAGCUCGUGUCGUGAGAUGUUGGGUUAAGUCCCGCAACGAGCGCAACCCUUGUCUUAUGUUGCCAGCACGUAAUGGUGGGGACUCGUAAGAGACUGCCGGGGUCAACUCGGAGGAAGGUGGGGACGACGUCAAGUCAUCAUGCCCCUUAUGUCCAGGGCUUCACACAUGCUACAAUGGCCAGUACAGAGGGCUGCGCGACCGUGAGGUGGAGCGAAUCCCUUAAAGCUGGUCUCAGUUCGGAUCGGGGUCUGCAACUCGACCCCGUGAAGUCGGAGUCGCUAGUAAUCGCAGAUCAGCAACGCUGCGGUGAAUACGUUCCCGGGCCUU